Molecule: ribosomal RNA, 924 nt
Filed under: Bacillus sp. BM4-2
Lineage: Bacteria; Bacillati; Bacillota; Bacilli; Caryophanales; Bacillaceae
Description: bacterial SSU rRNA
Rfam family: Bacterial small subunit ribosomal RNA
Source: RNAcentral
CUAUAAAUGGCGAGUGCUAUACAUGCAAGUCGAGCGGACAGAUGGGAGCUUGCUCCCUGAUGUUAGCGGCGGACGGGUGAGUAACACGUGGGUAACCUGCCUGUAAGACUGGGAUAACUCCGGGAAACCGGGGCUAAUACCGGAUGGUUGUUUGAACCGCAUGGUUCAAACAUAAAAGGUGGCUUCGGCUACCACUUACAGAUGGACCCGCGGCGCAUUAGCUAGUUGGUGAGGUAACGGCUCACCAAGGCAACGAUGCGUAGCCGACCUGAGAGGGUGAUCGGCCACACAGGGACUGAGACACGGCCCAGACUCCUACGGGAGGCAGCAGUAGGGAAUCUUCCGCAAUGGACGAAAGUCUGACGGAGCAACGCCGCGUGAGUGAUGAAGGUUUUCGGAUCGUAAAGCUCUGUUGUUAGGGAAGAACAAGUACCGUUCGAAUAGGGCGGUACCUUGACGGUACCUAACCAGAAAGCCACGGCUAACUACGUGCCAGCAGCCGCGGUAAUACGUAGGUGGCAAUCGUUGUCCGGAAUUAUUGGGCGUAAAGGGCUCGCAGGCGGUUUCUUAAGUCUGAUGUGAAAGCCCCCGGCUCAACCGGGGAGGGUCAUUGGAAACUGGGGAACUUGAGUGCAGAAGAGGAGAGUGGAAUUCCACGUGUAGCGGUGAAAUGCUUAGAGAUGUGGAGGAACACCAGUGGCGAAGGCGACUCUCUGGUCUGUAACUGACGCUGAGGAGCGAAAGCGUGGGGAGCGAACAGGAUUAGAUACCCUGGUAGUCCACGCCGUAAACGAUGAGUGCUAAGUGUUAGGGGUUUCCGCCCCUUAGUGCUGCAGCUAACGCAUUAAGCACUCCGCCUGGGGAGUACGGUCGCAAGACUGAAACUCAAAGGAAUUGACGGGGGCCCGCAUUAAGCCGGAAUCG